Molecule: ribosomal RNA, 468 nt
Filed under: uncultured bacterium
Lineage: Bacteria
Description: partial 16S ribosomal RNA
Rfam family: Bacterial small subunit ribosomal RNA
Source: RNAcentral
GAUGAACGCUGGCGGCGUGCUUAACACAUGCAAGUCGAACGGAAAGGCCCUGCUUUUGUGGGGUGCUCGAGUGGCGAACAGGUGAGUAACACGUGAGUAACCUGCCCUUGACUUUCGGAUAACUUCAGGAAACUGGGGCUCAUACCGGAUAGGAGCUCCUGCUGCAUGGUGGGGGUUGGAAAGUUUCGGCGGUUGGGGAUCGACUCGCGGCUUAUCAGCUUGUUGGUGGGGUAGUUGCUUACCAAGGCUUUGACGGGUAGCCGGCCUGAGAGGGUGACCGGCGACAAUGGGACUGCGAUACGGAGCAGACUCCUACGGGAGGCAGCAGUGGGGAAUAUGGCACAAUGGGGGGAAGCCUGAUGCAGCGACGCCGCGUGCGGGAUGACGGCUUUCGGGUUGUAAACCUAUUUCGCCUGUGACGAAGCGUGAGUGACGGUAAUGGGUAAAGAAGCACCGGCUAACUACGUG